This is a non-coding RNA of Bos taurus (domestic cattle), 73 nucleotides long. The record is from Rfam. Lineage: Eukaryota; Metazoa; Chordata; Mammalia; Artiodactyla; Bovidae.
UCCUUGAGGGUCCAGUGGUUAAGACGCCGCACUCUCAAUACAGAGGACCCAGGUUCAAUUCCUGGUCAGGAAC